This 71-nucleotide transfer RNA is filed under the name Macrostomum lignano. It matches the Rfam family "tRNA". From Rfam's summary of the family: Transfer RNA (tRNA) molecules are approximately 80 nucleotides in length. Their secondary structure includes four short double-helical elements and three loops (D, anti-codon, and T loops). The record is from Rfam by way of RNAcentral. Lineage: Eukaryota; Metazoa; Platyhelminthes; Macrostomidae.
GGGGUUGUGGCCUAGUGGUUAGAGCGUCGGACUUACGGCUUGAAGGUCGGGGGGUUCGAUUCCCGACCCCA